AGCUAAAUCAACUCUUCUCCUUAUCCCUUUGUUUGGAAUUCAUUAUGUUGUCUUCGCUUUGUUUCCUGAACAUAUUGGAGUUUGGGCCAGGUUAUAUUUUGAACUUGUUCUGGGAUCCAAUCAGGGAUUCAUUGUGGCGUUGUUAUAUUGCUUUCUUAAUGGAGAUGUUCAGGCUGAGAUCCAGCGGCACUGGGGCAAAUGGCAAACCUCACUGGAAAGCAAUGUGUUCAACCUGGUGACUCAGGACUUUACAGCAUGAACUAUCAAAUACUAACUGGCUAUAGAUUUGUUCAGGCUGAACAAACAGGAUGA
Long non-coding RNA from Nanorana parkeri, 312 nucleotides. RefSeq lists it as uncharacterized. Lineage: Eukaryota; Metazoa; Chordata; Amphibia; Anura; Dicroglossidae. The record is from RefSeq and is a predicted model, not a curated record. The transcript is spliced from 3 exons.